AUAAGAUAUCAAGGGCAACAGGUGAAUGCCUUGGCGCUGAGAGGCGAUGAAAGACGCGGUAAGCUGCGAUAAGCAUCGGGGAGGAGCUAAACAUCCUACGAUCCGAUGAUUUCUGAAUGGGGAAACCCGAUGGGAGUCAUGUCCCAUCAUCCUGAGCUGAAUAUAUAGGCCCAGAGAAGCCAACCCGGGGAAGUGAAACAUCUCAGUACCCGGAGGAAGAGAAAUCAAACGAGACUCCCAAAGUAGCGGCGAGCGAAAUGGGAAGAGCCCAAACCGAGUGGUUUCGACCAUUCGGGGUUGUAGGGCCGGCAUACGUGAUUCUGGAGUAGGCAGAGGAAGUGAGCUGGAAAGCUCCGCCACAGCGGGUGAUAGCCCCGUACUCGAAACCGAAAAGGACGCAGCCGGUACCUGAGUACUGCGAGGCACGUGGAACCUCGUGGGAAUCUAGGGGGACCAUCCUCUAAGGCUAAGUACUCCUCAGCGACCGAUAGUGAACUAGUACCGUGAGGGAAAGGUGAAAAGAACCCCUGUUAGGGGAGUGAAAUAGAAUCUGAAACCUGUUGCCUACAAGCUGCGAGAGCUACUUCGGUAGUGAUCGCGUGCCUUUUGUAUAAUGAGUCAGCGAGUUACUCUACCGUGCGAGGUUAAGCGAAAGCGUAGCCGUAGUGAAAGCGAGGCUUAAUAGGCCGACUAGUACGUUGGAGUAGACCCGAAACCGGGUGAUCUAUCCAUGAGCAGGUUGAAGCAAGGGUAAAGCCUUGUGGAGGACCGAACCGUCAACGGCUGAAAACGUUCCGGAUGACUUGUGGAUAGGGGUGAAAGGUCAAUCAAACCCGGUGAUAGCUGGUUCUCCCCGAAAUAUAUUGAGGUAUAGCCUCGGGAAUUGAUUAGCGGAGGUAAAGCACUGACAGAGCUAGGGGUCCUACCAGAUUACCAAACUCUAUCAAACUCAGAAUGCCGCUUAAUUGUAUCCCGGGAGUCAGACGGCGGGUGCGAAGGUUCGUCGUCAAAAGGGAAACAGCCCAGACCAACAGCUAAGGUCUCCAAAUCCAUGCUCAGUGGUGAAGGUAGUGGAACCGUUUAGACAGCCAGGACGUUGGCUUAGAAGCAGCCAUCGUUUAAAGAAAGCGUAAUAGCUCACUGGUCUAAUGGCUCUGCGCCGAAAAUGUAACGGGGCUAAGCAUGGUACCGAAGCUUUGGCAAUCCCCUUUGGGGAUUGGGUAGGGGAGCGUUCGCUGCGGGCUGAAGGUGUAUCGGAAGGUAUGCUGGACUGCAGUGAAGUGAUUAUGCUGACAUGAGUAACGAUAAAAUAUGUGAAAAACAUAUUCGCCGAAAACCCGAGGUUUCCUGGGUAAAGGUAAUCUUCCCAGGGUUAGUCGGAUCCUAAGGUGAGGGUGAAAGCCGUAACCGAUGGAAAACAGGUUAAUAUUCCUGUACUUGUUGUGUAGCGCGAUGGAGGGACGCAGGAAGAUAGGCGGGCCGGGUGUUGGAUAUCCCGGUGCAAGCGUGUAGGAAUAUCCGGUAGGCAAAUCCGCCGGACGAAUCUGAGACGCGAGUCCGUGGGCGCAAGCCCUGAAGCCGUUGAGUCUAUGCUGCCUAGAAAAGCUCCUAAGUUUAUCCACAGCAAUCCGUACCGCAAACCAACUCAGGUGGGUGGGAUGAACAAUCCAAGGCGCUCGAGAGAACUCUGGCCAAGGAACUCGGCAAAAUAACCCCGUAACUUCGGAAGAAGGGGUGCUCUCUAGGGUGACAUGUUUAACAUAUGAAGCCCCGGGGAGCCGCAGUGAAUUGGUGGUGGCGACUGUUUACUAAAAACAUAGGUCUGUGCGAAGUCCUAAAGACGACGUAUACGGACUGACGCCUGCCCGGUGCUGGAAGGUUAAAAGGAGGGGUCAGCGCAAGCAAAGCUCCGAAUUGAAGCCCCAGUAAACGGCGGCCGUAACUAUAACGGUCCUAAGGUAGCGAAAUUCCUUGUCGGGUAAGUUCCGACCUG
Molecule: ribosomal RNA, 1993 nt
Filed under: human gut metagenome
Description: bacterial LSU rRNA
Rfam family: Bacterial large subunit ribosomal RNA
Source: RNAcentral